This 800-nucleotide ribosomal RNA is filed under the name Janibacter sp. Its description in RNAcentral is "bacterial SSU rRNA". It matches the Rfam family "Bacterial small subunit ribosomal RNA", at positions 62 to 871 of the family's 1533-position model. Lineage: Bacteria; Bacillati; Actinomycetota; Actinomycetes; Micrococcales; Intrasporangiaceae. The record is from RNAcentral.
UCGAACGGUGAUGCUCCAGCUUGCUGGAGUGGAUCAGUGGCGAACGGGUGAGUAACACGUGAGCAACCUGCCCCAAACUCUGGAAUAAGCGCUGGAAACGGCGUCUAAUACUGGAUACGAGACCAACCUGCAUGGGUAUGGUUUGGAAAGUUUUUCGGUUUGGGAUGGGCUCGCGGCCUAUCAGCUUGUUGGUGAGGUAAUGGCUCACCAAGGCGACGACGGGUAGCCGGCCUGAGAGGGCGACCGGCCACACUGGGACUGAGACACGGCCCAGACUCCUACGGGAGGCAGCAGUGGGGAAUAUUGCACAAUGGGCGAAAGCCUGAUGCAGCGACGCCGCGUGAGGGAUGACGGCCUUCGGGUUGUAAACCUCUUUCAGCAGGGAAGAAGCGAAAGUGACGGUACCUGCAGAAGAAGCACCGGCUAACUACGUGCCAGCAGCCGCGGUAAUACGUAGGGUGCGAGCGUUGUCCGGAAUUAUUGGGCGUAAAGAGCUUGUAGGCGGUUUGUCGCGUCUGCUGUGAAAAUCCGGGGCUCAACCCCGGACUUGCAGUGGGUACGGGCAGACUAGAGUGUGGUAGGGGAGACUGGAAUUCCUGGUGUAGCGGUGAAAUGCGCAGAUAUCAGGAGGAACACCGAUGGCGAAGGCAGGUCUCUGGGCCACUACUGACGCUGAGAAGCGAAAGCAUGGGGAGCGAACAGGAUUAGAUACCCUGGUAGUCCAUGCCGUAAACGUUGGGAACUAGGUGUGGGUCUCAUUCCACGAGAUCCGUGCCGCAGCUAACGCAUUAAGUUCCCCG